AUUUAAAUAGCUUAAAUUAGAGAGCAUAAUAUUGAAGAUAUUAGGGUAAUAUUAUUAUAUUUUUAAAUA
RNAcentral lists this transfer RNA (69 nucleotides) under Hyalonthophagus alcyon. RNAcentral describes it as "tRNA-Phe". Lineage: Eukaryota; Metazoa; Arthropoda; Insecta; Coleoptera; Scarabaeidae. The record is from RNAcentral.